UCCCAGUUAGUACAAUGGUUAGUAUAGGGCACUCUCAAUAGAACCUGCUGCAUCAACGGGAUAGCGAAUGUGCUGCUCAGAUCAGGGUUCGAUUCCCUGGCCGGGAA
This 107-nucleotide transfer RNA is filed under the name Ustilago sp. UG-2017b. Its description in RNAcentral is "transfer RNA-Glu(CTC)". It matches the Rfam family "tRNA". From Rfam's summary of the family: Transfer RNA (tRNA) molecules are approximately 80 nucleotides in length. Their secondary structure includes four short double-helical elements and three loops (D, anti-codon, and T loops). Lineage: Eukaryota; Fungi; Basidiomycota; Ustilaginomycetes; Ustilaginales; Ustilaginaceae. The record is from RNAcentral.